RNA transcript from Solanum pennellii, 587 nucleotides. RefSeq lists it as uncharacterized. Lineage: Eukaryota; Viridiplantae; Streptophyta; Magnoliopsida; Solanales; Solanaceae. The record is from RefSeq and is a predicted model, not a curated record. The transcript is spliced from 3 exons.
UUUCUUUUGGAUAUAAUACGUAUAGUCUUAUUUCUCCUCAACAAAAGCUAAUAAAGGCAAAUUGAGUUUAUCUCUUGCCAGUUCUUUGAGAUGCAACAUAUUGAUGCUCUUAGGUCUCGCGGAUAUAUACACAAGGCUGGUCAGCAGGUACCAUCCCGAGAGAUUAUUUUCUUUGAUAGAAGUUUUUCCUAUAAAAGAGGUUAUGUAAUCACACUUAUUGCAGGUGCCACAUGCAAUGAAUAUAAUUGUUAGAUAGUAUAUUUGGCAGUGCUGUCUAAAACUAUGACUUAGAUCCCAUCAGGAGUAACGCGGAAGGAUCUAAAUACUGAGAGGUUGAGGUACAGGCUUACCAAUGACAGCUCCACUGUUCUGUUGUCAGAUGAGUUGAACUCUAUACUAAGAGAUUUAUUAUCGACCUUGUCACUAGAACACAAUGCUCUUAUUAUAGAAACAAUGCAUGAGCCUAGUUAGUACAGAACUUGUCUUUUGAGGAAAAUGUAAUGUCCUCAUAUGACAAUGUAACAAGUGUAAGAAUAAAACAUUCAUUUGCAUAUAUUCUACGGGCUAAUUAGAUACUCCUUUAGAUA